Molecule: ribosomal RNA, 301 nt
Filed under: uncultured bacterium
Lineage: Bacteria
Description: partial 16S ribosomal RNA
Rfam family: Bacterial small subunit ribosomal RNA
Source: RNAcentral
CAGCAGCCACGGUAAUACGGAGGGUGCAAGCGUUAAUCGGAAUUACUGGGCGUAAAGCGCACGCAGGCGGUCUGUCAAGUCGGAUGUGAAAUCCCCGGGCUCAACCUGGGAACUGCAUUCGAAACUGGCAGGCUAGAGUCUUGUAGAGGGGGGUAGAAUUCCAGGUGUAGCGGUGAAAUGCGUAGAGAUCUGGAGGAAUACCGGUGGCGAAGGCGGCCCCCUGGACAAAGACUGACGCUCAGGUGCGAAAGCGUGGGGAGCAAACAGGAUUAGAUACCCCGCGUAGUCCCUGUCUCUUAUA